RNAcentral lists this ribosomal RNA (228 nucleotides) under uncultured bacterium. RNAcentral's name for it is "partial 16S ribosomal RNA". It matches the Rfam family "Bacterial small subunit ribosomal RNA", at positions 102 to 339 of the family's 1533-position model. The record is from RNAcentral.
ACGGGUGAGUAACACGUAGGUCACGUACCUCUGGAAUGGGGAUAGCCCGGGGAAACUCGGAUUAAUACCCAAUAUGCCGAAAGGUGAAAGGAGCAAUCCGUCCGGAGAUCGGCCUGCGGCCCAUUAUUUAAUCCUUGUUGGUGAGGUAACGGCUCACCAAGGGUACGAUGGGUAGCUGGUCUGAGAGGAUGAUCAGCCACACUGGGACUGAGACACGGCCCAGACUCC